GUUAUAAUAAUUUAAAAAAAAAUAAUGGUUUUGUAAACCAAAUUUGAAAUUUUCUUAUAAUU
Molecule: transfer RNA, 62 nt
Filed under: Ixodes ricinus (castor bean tick)
Lineage: Eukaryota; Metazoa; Arthropoda; Arachnida; Ixodida; Ixodidae
Description: tRNA-Thr
Source: RNAcentral